GAGAGAGGCGCCAGAGCAACGAAGACCGCUAACCUUCGCAACCUCGGUUAAACCCCGGGGCUCACUCA
This 68-nucleotide transfer RNA is filed under the name Melanocetus johnsonii (humpback anglerfish). RNAcentral's name for it is "tRNA-Ser". Lineage: Eukaryota; Metazoa; Chordata; Actinopteri; Lophiiformes; Melanocetidae. The record is from RNAcentral.